AGGGAAAGGUGAAAAGCACCCCGGGAGGGGAGUGAAACAGUACCUGAAACCGUGCGCCCACGAGCAGUCGGAGCACCUUUAUGGUGUGACGGCGUGCCUUUUGUAGAAUGAGCCAGCGAGUCGCUGGCGCGGGGCGAGGUUAACCGAAAGGGAGCCGGAGCGAAAGCGAGCCUUAACAGGGCGACUUGAGUCCCGCGCCGCGGACGCGAAGCCGGGUGAGCUAUCCGUGGGCAGGCUGAAGCGGGGGUAAGACCCCGUGGAGGGCCGAACGCACGUCGGUUGAAAACGGCGGCGAUGACCUGCGGAUAGGGGUGAAAGGCCAAUCAAACCCGGAGAUAUCUCGUUCUCCCCGAAAUAGCUUUAGGGCUAGCGUCGCGCGUUCACCGCCGGAGGUAGAGCACCGGAUGGACGAGGGGGCUUCGCCGCCUACCGAAUCCAACCGAACUCCGAAUGCCGGCGGCCCAGAGCGCGGCAGUCAGAGCAUGUGGGCUAAGCUGUGUGCUCGAGAGGGAAACAGCCCGGACCGCCCGCUAAGGUCCCCAAGUUCCAGCCGAGUGGCAAAGGAUGUGCGUCCGCCCAGACAACCAGGAUGUUGGCUUAGAAGCAGCCAUCCAUUCAAAGAGUGCGUAACAGCUCACUGGUCGAGUGGACAUGCGCCGACAAUACACGGGGCUAAGCUGGACACCGAAGCGGCGGGAUUUUAAUUCAUUAGAAUCGGUAGGGGAGCUUCCCAUGGGCGGAGAAGCCGUCAGGGCGACCGACGGUGGAGCGCAUGGGAGUGAGAAUGCUGGCAUGAGUAGCGAGAGACGAGAGAGUAACUCGUCCGCCGUGAACCCGAGGUUUCCUGGGCAAGGCUAAUCCUCCCAGGGUCAGUCGGGGGCUAAGGCGAGGCCGGUAGGCGUAGCCGACGCGCAGCAGGCAGACAUUCCUGCACCGCGCACGCGGCGCUACGACCGACGGGGCGACGGAUGGGGGUGGCUCGGCGGGGUUCUGGACGUCCCCGUGAUGGAGCGCGGCCCGCGGACCAGGGAAAUCCGGUCCGCAUCGAGGGCGAGGCUCCGGACGAAGCACUUAAGCGAAGCGAGUGAGCCCGAGGUCCCUAGAAAAACCCCUAGGCAGGCGCGUGCGCGCCCGUACCGCAAACCGACACAGGUGGGUGGGUAGAACAUACCGAGGCGAUCGGGUCAACCAUGGUCAAGGAACUCGGCACAAUGGCCCCGUAACUUCGGGAGAAGGGGUGCCCGCGCGUACGUGAACCGGCUCGCCCGGGGAGCGGAGGCGGGCCGCAGUGGAGAGGCCCAAGCGACUGUUUACCAAAAACACAGGACUCUGCAAAGCCGCAAGGCGACGUAUAGGGUCUGACGCCUGCCCGGUGCCGGAAGGUCACGCGGAGGAGUUAGCGCAUCGCGCGAAGCCCCGAAGCCAAGCCCCGGUAAACGGCGGCCGUAACUAUAACGGUCCUAAGGUAGCGAAAUUCCUUGUCGGGUAAGUUCCGACCUGCACGAAAGGCGCAACGACUUGGGCGCUGUCUCGACCAUGGACCCGGUGAAAUUGCACUGGUCGUGAAGAUGCGACUUACCCGCGGAAGGACGGAAAGACCCCGUGAACCUUCACUGCAGCUUGGCAUUGGCCGCUGGUCCCGCGUGUAGAGGAUAGGCAGGAGGCAUCGAUCCGGAGGCGCCAGCCCCCGGGGAGCCGCCCUUGGAAUACUGCCCUCGCGCGACCGGCGUCCUAACCCGAGGCCGUCAACCGGCUCGGGGACCGUGCCAGGCGGGCAGUUUGACUGGGGCGGUCGCCUCCUAAAGGGUAACGGAGGCGCGCGAAGGUCCGCUCGGGACGGUCGGCAACCGUCCUUUUGAAUGCAAGAGUACAAGCGGGCUUGACUGCGAGGCCCACAAGCCGAGCAGGUGCGAAAGCAGGCUCUAGUGAUCCGGCGGCCCCGAGUGGGUGGGCCGUCGCUCAACGGAUAAAAGGUACUCCGGGGAUAACAGGCUGA
This 1996-nucleotide ribosomal RNA is filed under the name human gut metagenome. Its description in RNAcentral is "bacterial LSU rRNA". It matches the Rfam family "Bacterial large subunit ribosomal RNA", at positions 506 to 2485 of the family's 2925-position model. The record is from RNAcentral.